UAGGCAAGCACCAUUCUACACACUGUACAUAUACAUUAUCUCUAUACAUUUACAUGUCCACACUAGCUAGUACACAACUCUGUACUCUUCCUGUACCCUGCUGAGUUCUCUCUGACCUCUGAACCUGCACAACUGAAAUUAGGGGAGAGGGAUGAGCUACAAUAGCCCAGUGAGUAGAAUAGGCAAAUACAGGUGAUAAAACAUGCUCUCAUGGAAUGCAACACAUAAUCACAUAACCUCGGCCGGACGGAUCAAAACUCCCUCUAUCUCAUCUGG
This 276-nucleotide long non-coding RNA is filed under the name Manihot esculenta (cassava). RNAcentral describes it as "long non-coding RNA (MESC_LNC003742)". Lineage: Eukaryota; Viridiplantae; Streptophyta; Magnoliopsida; Malpighiales; Euphorbiaceae. The record is from RNAcentral.